UUCCCCCAGUAGCGGCGAGCGAACGGGGAGCAGCCCAGAGUCUGAAUCAGCUUGUGUGUUAGUGGAACGGUCUGGAAAGUCCGACGGUACAGGGUGAUAGUCCCGUACACCAAAAUGCACAGGUUGUGAACUCGAAGAGUAGGGCGGGACACGUGGUAUCCUGUCUGAAUAUGGGGGGACCAUCCUCCAAGGCUAAAUACUCCUGACUGACCGAUAGUGAACCAGUACCGUGAGGGAAAGGCGAAAAGAACCCCGGCGAGGGGAGUGAAAAAGAACCUGAAACCGUGUACGUACAAGCAGUGGGAGCACCUUCGGGUGUGACUGCGUACCUUUUGUAUAAUGGGUCAGCGACUUAUAUUCUGUAGCAAGGUUAACCGUAUAGGGGAGCCGCAGGGAAACCGAGUCUUAACUGGGCGUUAAGUUGCAGGGUAUAGACCCGAAACCCGGUGAUCUAGCCAUGGGCAGGUUGAAGGUUGGGUAACACUAACUGGAGGACCGAACCGACUAAUGUUGAAAAAUUAGCGGAUGACUUGUGGCUGGGGGUGAAAGGCCAAUCAAACCGGGAGAUAGCUGGUUCUCCCCGAAAGCUAUUUAGGUAGCGCCUCGUGAACUCAUCUUCGGGGGUAGAGCACUGUUUCGGCUAGGGGGUCAUCCCGACUUACCAACCCGAUGCAAACUACGAAUACCGAAGAAUGUUAUCACGGGAGACACACGGCGGGUGCUAACGUCCGUCGUGAAGAGGGAAACAACCCAGACCGCCAGCUAAGGUCCCAAAGUCAUGGUUAAGUGGGAAACGAUGUGGGAAGGCACAGACAGCCAGGAUGUUGGCUUAGAAGCAGCCAUCAUUUAAAGAAAGCGUAAUAGCUCACUGGUCGAGUCGGCCUGCGCGGAAGAUGUAACGGGGCUAAACCAUGCACCGAAGCUGCGGCAGCGACACUAUGUGUUGUUGGGUAGGGGAGCGUUCUGUAAGCCUGCGAAGGUGUGCUGUGAGGCAUGCUGGAGGUAUCAGAAGUGCGAAUGCUGACAUAAGUAACGAUAAAGCGGGUGAAAAGCCCGCUCGCCGGAAGACCAAGGGUUCCUGUCCAACGUUAAUCGGGGCAGGGUGAGUCGACCCCUAAGGCGAGGCCGAAAGGCGUAGUCGAUGGGAAACAGGUUAAUAUUCCUGUACUUGGUGUUACUGCGAAGGGGGGACGGAGAAGGCUAUGUUAGCCGGGCGACGGUUGUCCCGGUUUAAGCAUGUAGGCUGGUUAUCCAGGCAAAUCCGGAUAAUCAAGGCUGAGGUGUGAUGACGAGGCACUACGGUGCUGAAGUAACAAAUGCCCUGCUUCCAGGAAAAGCCUCUAAGCAUCAGGUAACAUCAAAUCGUAC
Molecule: ribosomal RNA, 1368 nt
Filed under: Klebsiella pneumoniae
Lineage: Bacteria; Pseudomonadati; Pseudomonadota; Gammaproteobacteria; Enterobacterales; Enterobacteriaceae
Description: partial 23S ribosomal RNA
Rfam family: Bacterial large subunit ribosomal RNA
Source: RNAcentral